Molecule: long non-coding RNA, 306 nt
Organism: Cyprinus carpio carpio
Lineage: Eukaryota; Metazoa; Chordata; Actinopteri; Cypriniformes; Cyprinidae
Source: Ensembl
GAAGAAGCCUUAGGCGCCUGCUGCUGUGAUAUUCACAAGAGUUCUAACAGUUCGGACAUUGUGUGAAUCAGAGGUUUUUCCGCUGGUGUAGUGCUAUACCGUCUUGCUCUUUUUCUGUACAGCUGGGCUCAGCAGGGAUGGAGGAGCUUGCAGCACAAAUGUGUCCUGGUUACCAUGGCAACAGCCUGGCAUUCUCUAGACAGGCAGGGCAGGAGAUCUGAUGCAUUCUGUCAGAAAAACCCUUCAGCUGCAGGAUAAUUCACAGUUUCAGAGUGAGGAGGGCCAUUAAAGGAACACAGACAGGAG